RNAcentral lists this ribosomal RNA (468 nucleotides) under uncultured bacterium. RNAcentral describes it as "partial 16S ribosomal RNA". It matches the Rfam family "Bacterial small subunit ribosomal RNA", at positions 38 to 507 of the family's 1533-position model. The record is from RNAcentral.
GAGGAAAGAGGGGGGCGUGCUUAACACAUGCAAGUCGAACGGAAAGACCCUGCUUUUGUGGGGUGCUCGAUUGGCGAACGCGUGAGUAACACGUGAGUAACCUGCCCUUGACUUUGGGAUAACUUCAGGGAACUGGGGCGAAUACCGGAUAGGAUCUCCUGCUGCAUGGUGGGCGUUGGAAAGUUUCGGCGGUUGGGUAUGGACUCGCUGCUUAUCAGCUUGAUGGUGGGGUAGGGGCUGACCAAGGCUUUGACGGGUAGCCGGCCUGAGAGGGUGACCGGGCACCUGGGGACUAAGAGACGGAGCAGAAGGGUAUGGGAGGCAGCAGUGGGGAGUCUUGCGCAAUGGGCGGAAGCCUGAUGCAGCAGCGCUGCGAGCGGGAUGACGGCUUUCGGGUUGUGAACCGAUGUGGCCGGUGACGAAGCGUGAGUGACGGUAACGGGUCAAGAAGCACCGGCUAACUACGUG